GACGGGGGAUGCAAGUGUUAUCCGGAAUCACUGGGCGUAAAGCGUCUGCAGGUGGUUUCCUAAGUCCACUGUUAAACCUUGAGGCUCAACCUCAAAUCUGCAUUGGAAACUAGGAGACUUGAGUAUAGUAGGGGUAGAGGGAAUUUCCAGUGGAGCGGUGAAAUGCGUAGAUAUUGGAAAGAACACCGAUGGCGAAGGCAGGUCUCUGGGCCACUACUGACGCUGAGAAGCGAAAGCAUGGGGAGCAAACAGG
RNAcentral lists this ribosomal RNA (253 nucleotides) under uncultured bacterium. RNAcentral's name for it is "partial 16S ribosomal RNA". It matches the Rfam family "Bacterial small subunit ribosomal RNA", at positions 524 to 776 of the family's 1533-position model. The record is from RNAcentral.